This is a non-coding RNA of Cavia porcellus (domestic guinea pig), 103 nucleotides long. The record is from Rfam. Lineage: Eukaryota; Metazoa; Chordata; Mammalia; Rodentia; Caviidae.
AUAUUUGAAGUAUGCUUGCUUUGGCAUUGGAAUGAUACAGAAAAGAUUAGCAUGGCCCUUGUGCAAGGAUGACAUGCACAUUCGUAAAGCAUCCCAUAUUUUU